CAGCCGCCGCGGUAAUACGAGGGGGGCAAGCGUUGUUCGGAAUUAUUGGGCGUAAAGGGUGCGUAGGCGGCUUGACAAGUCUUGUGUGAAAUCUAUGGGCUCAACCCAUAGUCUGCACGGGAAACUGUCGGGCUUGAGAAUGGGAGAGGUGAGUGGAAUUUCCGGCGUAGCGGUGAAAUGCGUAGAUAUCGGAAGGAACACCUGUGGCGAAAGCGGCUCACUGGACCAUUUCUGACGCUGAUGCACGAAAGCUAGGGGAGCAAACAGGAUUAGAUACCCGGGUAGUCCCUGUCUCUUAUAC
Molecule: ribosomal RNA, 301 nt
Filed under: uncultured bacterium
Lineage: Bacteria
Description: partial 16S ribosomal RNA
Rfam family: Bacterial small subunit ribosomal RNA
Source: RNAcentral